Molecule: transfer RNA, 74 nt
Filed under: Chloroflexota bacterium
Lineage: Bacteria; Bacillati; Chloroflexota
Also listed under: 1 other name
Description: Chloroflexi bacterium tRNA-Met
Rfam family: tRNA
About the family: Transfer RNA (tRNA) molecules are approximately 80 nucleotides in length. Their secondary structure includes four short double-helical elements and three loops (D, anti-codon, and T loops).
Source: RNAcentral
GGGCGGGUAGCUCAGCCGGUUAGAGCGCGGGACUCAUAAUCCCUCGGUCGCAGGUUCGAAUCCUGCCCCGCCCA